This 286-nucleotide long non-coding RNA is filed under the name Homo sapiens (human). RNAcentral describes it as "HSALNT0295671". The record is from RNAcentral. Lineage: Eukaryota; Metazoa; Chordata; Mammalia; Primates; Hominidae.
CUGACAAAGCAAAAUACUCAUUGACUUAAAUUCCCCCGAAACACGUUUCUCGCCCUCUCAUGGAGUCGAAGUCCUUCGGCCUCUGAGAAGACUCUUUGAGAUCUGCUCUCCGGACGAAAAAUAGAUUGAUUCAUACACGUCAUCUGCCUAAGUGCUAAGGAAAAGAAAUAAACAUACUGUGAGUUUCCUAUAUCAUCUUCCCACUAAUUUAACUACAUAAAGUGAAAUCAAUAAAGAUAUAUGGGAAACACCUGCAGGGUUUAGAAUAAAAAAUUAUGUCAGCUUC